RNAcentral lists this ribosomal RNA (368 nucleotides) under uncultured bacterium. RNAcentral describes it as "bacterial SSU rRNA". It matches the Rfam family "Bacterial small subunit ribosomal RNA", at positions 28 to 395 of the family's 1533-position model. The record is from RNAcentral.
GAUGAACGCUAGCGGCAGGCUUAACACAUGCAAGUCGAGGGGUAGAAGGAGCUUGCUCCUUUGAGACCGGCGCACGGGUGCGUAACGCGUAUGCAAUCUACCUUUUGCAGAGGAUAGCCCAGAGAAAUUUGGAUUAAUACCUCAUAGUAUGUGAGGAUGGCAUCAUUUUCACAUUAAAGUCACAACGGCAAAAGAAUGAGCAUGCGUCCCAUUAGCUAGUUGGUAAGGUAACGGCUUACCAAGGCUACGAUGGGUAGGGGUCCUGAGAGGGAGAUCCCCCCCACACUGGUACUGAGACACGGACCAGACUCCUACGGGAGGCAGCAGUGAGGAAUAUUGGACAAUGGGCGCAAGCCUGAUCCAGCCAU